UUGCGAUCCACCAAGGCAACAAGAAGCCCGAUAUUCAUAAGUCCGAUACCGAAGUCUUCCGAUACCCUUCUAAAAUAGACAUGGUCACGUGGUGGUCCCUUCAAGAGUUUACCCUCGCCGUUUUAUUUUUUGAAUUAUUAUUACAAACUACAAAAGUCUUCGUCAAUGGCCACUCCCAACCACAGAUCAGGAACCCUAUGGUCCUAAUUUAUCAUGUCUCUUGCUCAGACCACAAACUAAACAUUACAGACAUAAGCUUUCACUUUGCAGUAGAUAGAGAUGGAUCCUGAUCAUUUUGGUAAUCGAGAGACGGAAUUGGGUGACUUGAUGGAGGGGUUUGGGAGCUAUGAAUUUAGCUGUUCAAAAAACUACGAUGAACUGAACGUGCCGUUCGAUUACCAAUUCCAGUCACAAAUUGAUGAUCUGGGGGGAACAAGCAAUAGAGUACUCCAGACAGACAAUCCACGCGACAGAAAAAAAAGAAAUGACAAGGAAUAUCGAGCCCGUUGUAGGGAAGCCCAGAAAAGACAGGAGGAGGAGUUGGAGAAACUAGCGGUAGAAAAUGAACGCAUGAAGAACGAAAAUGAAUCCCUGGUGAAGGAAAGGGUUACAGUUUUGAGUCCGAAGUUGGAAUCAGCAGCCAUUGAGAUAAAUCGACUUAGAAGUGAAAGUCAGAGUUUGAAACGCAGCAGCGACAACCAAAUAAUUCUUGUGCAUGCUUUAACUUAAAAACUGGAUAGCCAAAAUAAACUUAGAAGCCUCCAUGAUGAGGUUGCACGAUUGAGACAAAACGUCCCCCAGGAUCCCAGGAUGCAAGAAAAGAAAAAACUCAUGGAAGAGCUUUUGAGGUUAGAAAACGAAAACAAGCUGCUAGAACUGCAAAAUCAAGCGUAUUGCAUGAUGAUACAAAAUGACGGGGACCCUAGAGGGGAUGAAGCUGAUCAAGCAUCGCCUGCAGGGUUGCUGUGAUUAUAUUGCUGAGUAGUGCAUUAAGUUAGGCUCCUCUACUAAAUCAUGACUUCUCAAGCUUUUCAUCACGUUUGAACCCUUUGAGAGGGAGAUGGAUCUACUGCGGCAGAACAAUCAUAUAUCUCCUGUGCUGUGUUCGUGUCUGGUUUAAUUUACUAUGCUAUCGGAAUAAAUGCCAGCGCCUCAUUUAAUUCGUUUGGCUUGUCUACCUUAGUUAUGCACUUGUAGCUACUGUCUCUUGAAUCACUAUACUGGAAACUCGUCGAAAAUACCCAACACUGAUGUCUGCCUUGUGAUGUUCAAUGACAAGAGGAUUAUACCUGGUUUAUCAACCAACCUAGAAGAUUA
Long non-coding RNA from Populus euphratica (Euphrates poplar), 1317 nucleotides. RefSeq lists it as uncharacterized. NCBI's taxonomy places the organism in Eukaryota, Viridiplantae, Streptophyta, Magnoliopsida, Malpighiales, Salicaceae. The transcript has 6 exons. The record is from RefSeq and is a predicted model, not a curated record.